This 497-nucleotide ribosomal RNA is filed under the name uncultured bacterium. Its description in RNAcentral is "partial 16S ribosomal RNA". It matches the Rfam family "Bacterial small subunit ribosomal RNA", at positions 28 to 507 of the family's 1533-position model. The record is from RNAcentral.
GAUGAACGCUGGCGGCGUGCCUAAUACAUGCAAGUCGAGCGAACGGACGAGAAGCUUGCUUCUCUGAUGUUAGCGGCGGACGGGUAAGUAACACGUGGAUAACCUACCUAUAAGACUGGGAUAACUUCGGGAAACCGGAGCUAAUACCGGAUAAUAUUUUGAACCGCAUGGUUCAAAAGUGAAAGACGGUCUUGCUGUCACUUAUAGAUGGAUCCGCGCUGCAUUAGCUAGUUGGUAAGGUAACGGCUUACCAAGGCAACGAUGCAUAGCCGACCUGAGAGGGUGAUCGGCCACACUGGAACUGAGACACGGUCCAGACUCCUACGGGAGGCAGCAGUAGGGAAUCUUCCGCAAUGGGCGAAAGCCUGACGGAGCAACGCCGCGUGAGUGAUGAAGGUCUUCGGAUCGUAAAACUCUGUUAUUAGGGAAGAACAUAUGUGUAAGUAACUGUGCACAUCUUGACGGUACCUAAUCAGAAAGCCACGGCUAACUACGUG